GUAUCUGGUCAAUAUAAAGGAUAAUACUUGUCUUUAACCACAAGUAAUAAACCCUGCGCAUUUCUUAAAUGUAUCUUCUUAAAAUUGCAAACCUUAUGCUUAACCUUAAAUGAAGACAAAAAAAGCCAAUUUUUGUUGCAAAUUUGACUUUUGUGCCAGUGGAAUCUGACUUUGUGGAUAUAGAAGUUAGUGGAAACCAAUACUCUAUUCGGGCCAAUUCCGAAUGGAUGUGUGUGCAACGGGCGGUGGAAUGGAAUAUUGGAACCAAUUUGGUGGUUGAAGAUUAGCGAACCCCUACUACAAAUCACUCAAUUUAUAUAGUCUGUGCGUUUAGCCCCCUGCAAGCUAUCCAAAUGUAACAGGAAAAAUAUAGACCAGACACACGCGGUAAACUGCUUGUAGCUUCGCCAAACGUGGGGGAUAUUGUUGGCCAAACCAAAAGAAAAAAACAAGCCCAUUUUUUUUUAUUAAGCCUUUGCACCGAGAGGGGGAGCACCUUGAUGUUCUAGUACACUUCACCAACUCCCCCCAGUGCUACUGUGCUGUGCUUCAGCCGCUGUUAGGAAUGCGUUACUAAAUGAUGUAGGUCUUGCCGUGGUCUCGGGCUGUAUUGAUGGCUCAACCGUGAUCUAUCCUUUGAUGGGAUUCCGCGCCAAAUUACGCACGAAACACAACGGUCUUCGGAAUUGGAAUGGAAAUGCCCUCCCAACGCUGCAUUCGGAGCCGACGAUAUGAACCAUGCCUAGUUAAUUUUACAAGGAUUUCUCCUUUAUCCAGUGUGUAGACCGUGAACGAGUUUGAAAUGUAUACAUUUUAUUCGGAUUUGGAAUAAAACGAAAAGCAAUUCAUCCGUGAAGAGCGAGGUGUUGCUGUCGAUUUCUUUUUUUUAAUCUAUUCAGCAAAUAUCAAAGAAUUUUAGAUGGAACUGGAGAAUAUUGUGGCCAAUACGGUACUGCUAAAAGCAAGAGAAGGUGGAGGAGGGAAGCGGAAAGGGAGGAGUAAGAAAUGGAAGGAGAUCCUUCGCUUCCCCCACAUCAGCCAGUGCACUGAGCUGGGCAACAGCAUCGAUCGGGACUACAUGAGCCUGUGUGAGAAGCAGCCCAUCGGCAGACUGCUGUUCCGCCUGUACUGUGAGACCAGACCUGAAUUGCUGCGAUGCAUCCACCUACUGGACGCCAUGGAUGACUAUGAGCUGGCGCCUGAUGAGAAACGGAAAAGCAGAGGAGGUGAAAUUAUUGGGAAGUUCCUCACUAAACAGUCGUCAGAGUGUGUGGAGGCAGCAGAGAGCCUUGCUGAGCAGUGUAGAGAGAACCUGGAACUUCACCCCUGCAAGGAGAUCUUCAGUGACUGUCGCAAGGCUCUCCAUGACUACCUGAGACGAGCUCCCUUCUCUGACUACCAAAACAGCAUGUACUUUGACCGUUUCCUACAGUGGAAGAUGCUGGAGAGACAGCCAAUAACUAAAGACACGUUUCGACAGUACCGAGUACUGGGGAAGGGAGGAUUCGGAGAGGUGUGUGCGUGCCAGGUGCGAGCCACAGGGAAGAUGUAUGCCUGCAAGAAGCUGGAGAAGAAGAGAAUUAAGAAGAGGAAAGGAGAGUCCAUGGCCCUUAAUGAGAAACAAAUACUAGAGAAGGUCAACAGCAGAUUUGUUGUGAGUUUAGCAUAUGCCUAUGAGACCAAAGAUGCUCUGUGUCUGGUGCUGACCUUAAUGAAUGGAGGGGAUCUGAAGUUCCACAUCUACAGCAUGGGGACUCCAGGCUUUGAGAAGGACCGGGUCCAGUUCUAUGCUGCCCAGAUCUGCUGCGGCCUGGACCACCUACACCAGGAAUCGAUCGUCUACAGGGAUUUAAAACCAGAGAAUAUUCUAUUAGAUGACAAUGGACACAUCCGGAUCUCAGAUCUGGGCCUGGCCAUCAAAGUGCCUGAAGGGGACCCCAUACGAGGCAGAGUGGGAACAGUGGGUUACAUGGCUCCGGAGGUGAUCAACAACGAGCGCUAUGGGAUGAGUCCAGACUGGUGGGGGCUGGGAUGUCUCAUCUACGAGAUGACCGCCGGACGCUCACCCUUCCGCGCACGCAAAGAACGAGUGAAGAGGGAAGAAGUGGAGAAGAGGGUGCAGGAGGGAGAGGAGGAGUACAGCGACAAGUUUACAGAGGACACCCAGGCCAUCUGUAGAGUGCUGUUGACCAAAGAUCCUAAGCAGAGGCUGGGCUGUACAACGGAGGGGUCAACAGGGGUGAAGGCUCACUGCUUCUUCAGGAACAUCAACUUUAAGAGACUAGAGGCAGGCAUCCAGGAGCCCUCCUUUGUACCUGAUCCCCGGGCGGUGUACUGUAAGGAUGUGUUGGACAUUGAGCAGUUCUCUACAGUCAAGGGAGUAAAUCUGGACCAAACCGACAACGACUUCUACUUCAAAUUCUCUACAGGCUGCGUGUCCAUCCCAUGGCAGCACGAGGUGGGUGAACUAAAUGGGACGUCUUUCCCUCUCCUCUGGCCUCUUCUGAGAGGUAGUCUGCAAGAUGAUAGACACAGAGUGUUUCAGUGAUCUGAAUGUGUUCGGGCCCCAGGCGACCAGAACCCCAGAUCUGGACUGGAACACACCCCCCGAGCCUCCCCGACGCAGCCUGCUGGACAGGAUCUUCAGGAGACAUCACCCCGAGGUGUCCAUCGCCAACAGUCGCGUGUCUUCCUGCAGUGUGAACUCAGUGGACUCCAUGUCAAACUCUGCCCCCUAGUGGCCAUGGCUCUGUGUGGCGCCACACACAGACAGAGGAGGAGCCGGAAGGAUCUUCUCACUGCUGAUUGGUUUACACCUGGCCUGACCAGCUGUCAGUCUUCCGGAGGCACCCAACCCAAGCCCAUGGUCAGUCUAGGGGAAAUGCUGACCAUGACCCGGACCUGAGACCCAUGGGGAAUUAUUGGAGGGACGUUUAAAUAACGCAAAUACGUUUUGAAAACAAUGCUCAGACACUUCACUUACCUUCAGGAUCGCUGGAGUAGAGAAGAGCCACUGACUGUGUUGAUGAAUAAGAAAAAACUAGCUAAUUCAGGGGAUCCACUGUCUGAGAAAGACCACAGGAAAUACAAGAUGGGGUCUUUGUUGCUGUUUAUUUUUUAUUUUGAAAGAAAUCAAAUUAUUUGCAUAAAUUCACAUUCACACUCAAAUGCACUCUCUGUUCAUUUAUUCCUCUCUUCCCCCCUCCCCCUCUCUCUUUUUGUCUCUUUCUCCUUUUCACCUCCCUCUCCCCUAAUCACUUAUAAACGUACAUGCAACCAACAACAUCACCAACCUCAAGACACAAUGUGCAUAUUGCCUUGUAUACCCUCAGGCCAAAGAUAUAGUUCAGUUAUGUAUUUGUGUUAUUGUUGCCAUACCCGUUUUGGAGGAGGAAGGGGGAUUUGCCUGGUCUUUAUUCAAUCCCAUAUUCAACUUGAGGCAGCAGCUAUGCUACACCUAAGUCACAAUCAAACAUGUGUUUGCAUACAACAGGCUUCCCCCCCCCCCCCCCCCCCCCCACGCACACACACAACUGUGUUAUUAGAAUUGUAACCACAAUACUUGUCUUGUUUUCUGCACUUUUCCCAAAGAGUGCACCACCGCGCCCUGUUGACCUUGAGAAAAAGUAGAUUUGCCAAACCAGUAAGCCACCAUUUAUUCACCAAUUAAGAUGUUUUUACAGUAAAGAUGUUAUUGUUUUACCUCAGACAUUAAAGUAAUAUUACUGUGAUGUAAAUGUUGUAAUAUCCAUUGAGCCAGUGCUGUUUUGUGUUUGUGUUGCCAUCACGACCAUGGGUGCAUCUCGAUAGUCUCAAUAGGGAGGUUUUCUCUCCUCCUUUUCUUCAGCUGCACUGAUCCUAAAGGAAAGGUGAGGAAUCCUGGAAGAUAUAUGACCUUUUUCUACAGGAAAGGAGCUUUAACCAAUCCAGUGCGGAUAAAGGAGAGGGAAGCCGUGUUAGACUAUUGAGGUUCCGGGGCUCUGGUAGAGUAAUUGGUAAAGGGACCACAUGUCACCUCACAAUGGGAAGCCUUCCAACACACUCAAACCAAAGGGAAGAAAAGCUUUGGUUUUGGAAUUUGAUGUCUUAUUUUAAGGAAGACUGAAUAUUUACAGAAAACAAUUGUACUUACACAUGUAGUCUUGGCCAGUUAUUAUUUUAUUCGUAAAUCAUUUCACAAAUUGAAAAUCAGAAGUGCCUCCUCUUUAGCCUGAUCUUCUAGACGACUCGCACACAAAUGUUUGCACUUUGUUUCUCUCAUGAUCGAUUUGUUUCUUUAUGACACACACACACACUGUAUUUGGCUGGUGGUGGAGGCUGGGGAGUGUGGAGAGAGAGAGAGAGGAUAAGGAGGAUGAAAAGGAGAGAACGAGGAUGGAUCUCUUCCUGCUAUUGUUGUACAUUACAGUGCUGAGUGUACAGAAUGUAAAGCCAAACCCACUGUGCUCUGCAGCUCCGAAUAAAUAAACCCUGUGCUGCCUUAGCAUAUCUGUA
Oncorhynchus mykiss (rainbow trout) is the source of this 4494-nucleotide RNA transcript. It is a transcript of the gene named G protein-coupled receptor kinase 5, with no coding region annotated. The record is from RefSeq and is a predicted model, not a curated record. Lineage: Eukaryota; Metazoa; Chordata; Actinopteri; Salmoniformes; Salmonidae.